GACGAACGCUGGCGGCGCGCCUAACACAUGCAAGUCGAACGGAGCUGAGAGGAGCUUGCUUUUCUUAGCUUAGUGGCGAACGGGUGAGUAACGCGUGAGUAACCUGCCCUGGAGUGGGGGACAACAGUUGGAAACGACUGCUAAUACCGCAUAAGCCCACGAUCCGGCAUCGGAUUGAGGGAAAAGGAUUUAUUCGCUUCAGGAUGGACUCGCGUCCAAUUAGCUAGUUGGUGAGGUAACGGCCCACCAAGGCGACGAUUGGUAGCCGGACUGAGAGGUUGAACGGCCACAUUGGGACUGAGACACGGCCCAGACUCCUACGGGAGGCAGCAGUGGGGGAUAUUGCACAAUGGGGGAAACCCUGAUGCAGCGACGCCGCGUGGAGGAAGAAGGUUUUCGGAUUGUAAACUCCUGUCGUUAGGGACGGUAAUGACGGUACCUAACAAGAAAGCAC
RNAcentral lists this ribosomal RNA (454 nucleotides) under uncultured bacterium. RNAcentral describes it as "bacterial SSU rRNA". It matches the Rfam family "Bacterial small subunit ribosomal RNA", at positions 28 to 493 of the family's 1533-position model. The record is from RNAcentral.